RNAcentral lists this unclassified non-coding RNA (382 nucleotides) under uncultured Fusarium. RNAcentral describes it as "sequence contains ITS2". The stretch from base 1 to 154 matches the Rfam family "5.8S ribosomal RNA". The record is from RNAcentral. Lineage: Eukaryota; Fungi; Ascomycota; Sordariomycetes; Hypocreales; Nectriaceae.
AACUUUUAGCAACGGAUCACUUGGCUCUGGCAUCGAUGAAGAACGCAGCGAAAUGCGAUAAGUAAUGUGAAUUGCAGAAUUCAGUGAACCAUCGAAUCUUUGAACGCACAUUGCGCCCGCCAGUACUCUGGCGGGCAUGCCUGUUCGAGCGUCAUUACAACCCUCAGGCCCCCGGGCCUGGCGUUGGGGAUCGGCGGAGCCCCCGGGCACACGCCGUCCCCCAAAUACAGUGGCGGUCCCGCCGCAGCUUCCAAUGCGUAGUACACCAACCUCGCAACUGGAGAGCGGCGCGGCCACGCCGUAAAACCCCCAACUCAUGAACGUUGACCUCGAAUCAGGUAGGAAUACCCGCUGAACUUAAGCAUAUCAAUAAGCGGAGGCU